This 859-nucleotide non-coding RNA is filed under the name Chamberlainia hainesiana. Lineage: Eukaryota; Metazoa; Mollusca; Bivalvia; Unionida; Unionidae. The record is from RNAcentral.
CGCACACUUCGCUCUAAUGCUCAAUUGAUUUUAACCCUUAACUUUCAUAUGGUAAUAUACGUAAAUUGUGAUAAUUUUAGACUCUAAAAUUUAGUUAAACACGUGAUUUUAGAGUCUAAAAGCAAGAAAGCAAUAACAUCUUAUCUUAAACUCAACCUCACAACACCAAUGAAUUAUCUUGAUAAAGCUAGAAAACUAGGCUUCAGAAACGAUUAAAUAUAAGUGACCAAAUAAGGUGCCAGCAGUCGCGGUUAUACCUAACCUUAAAGUCAAUUUAUUCAACUACCGAGAAAUAUCCAACUAUAAGACCCACCCCUAUCGGAUAAAAGUAAAAUUUAAACUCGUACGAAACACCUAACAGGUCUCACCACAAAUCUUUGCCUCAACAAACCACACCACAAAACAGGGAUUAGAUACCCCACUAUUGCGUGGCACAACAAUAAAUAAACACUAAAAACGAAAGUUUCAAACUUAAAGAGCGUGGCGGUAUUCUACACCUUAUUAGGGGAUCCUGUGGCUUAAUUCGAUAACCCACGAAUAUCCAAGCUUUAAUAGUACUCAGCUUAUGUAUGGCCGUUUCUAGGCCCGCACAUUAAUGUAUUAAAAGGGGGCCCCCCAAACCUAAUAGUCUAACAACACAGGUGACACAUAGCCAAUAUAAAGCAGUUCAUGGGAUACAAAUAAAUAUUAUUAACCGCAAGAAAUUGACACAUUUUCAAGCGGGAGGACUUAAAAGUAAGAUCAUAACAUUAAUUUGAUCUGAACAAGAACUAGAAUGCGUACAAAUCGCCCGUCACUCCCGUCAAUUAAAUCGGGAUAAGUCGUAACAUAGUAGGGGUAACGGAAGUUGUCCCUAUAC